This 460-nucleotide ribosomal RNA is filed under the name uncultured bacterium. RNAcentral's name for it is "partial 16S ribosomal RNA". It matches the Rfam family "Bacterial small subunit ribosomal RNA", at positions 338 to 795 of the family's 1533-position model. The record is from RNAcentral.
CCUACGGGGGGCAGCAGUGAGGAAUAUUGGUCAAUGGACGAGAGUCUGAACCAGCCAAGUAGCGUGAAGGAUGACUGCCCUAUGGGUUGUAAACUUCUUUUAUAUGGGAAUAAAAUGUUCCACGUGUGGGAUUUUGUAUGUACCAUAUGAAUAAGGAUCGGCUAACUCCGUGCCAGCAGCCGCGGUAAUACGGAGGAUCCGAGCGUUAUCCGGAUUUAUUGGGUUUAAUGGGAGCGUAGGUGGAUUGUUAAGUCAGUUGUGAAAGUUUGCGGCUCAACCGUAAAAUUGCAGUUGAAACUGGCAGUCUUGAGUACAGUAGAGGUGGGCGGAAUUCGGGGUGUAGCGGUGAAAUGCUUAGAUAUCACGAAGAACUCCGAUUGCGAAGGCAGUUCACUGGACUGCAACUGACACUGAGGCUCGAAAGUGUGGGUAUCAAACAGGAUUAGAUACCCUGGUAGUC